Molecule: long non-coding RNA, 454 nt
Filed under: Elaeis guineensis (African oil palm)
Lineage: Eukaryota; Viridiplantae; Streptophyta; Magnoliopsida; Arecales; Arecaceae
Description: long non-coding RNA (EGUI_LNC055840)
Source: RNAcentral
GGUAGGUCAUGGAUGAAUCGUCAAACCUCAUCAUCAGUCAUAUGAUAGAUUCAAUUAGCUCGAGUCCAUAUGUGAUUCUCAUAAAAACUCUUUUUCAUUAAUCACACUGCUAUGGCCAUAGAAUUAAAGACUCAGCUUCUUAAAUCUCAUAGAACUUCUCCCUUCUGCUAGGAUCGAUAGAUCCCAUCUAGGUGCACACCCUACUCCUACAGUGGAUCAACUGUCACCAACAUUCACUACAAGGGCUAAUUGAGACCUAUGUUUAUAUAUCAAUCAAACUCCACUAGCCUCACUGUGAGUAGCUGUAAUAUCAUAAGUCAAAAGACCAGUCAUACAACUACAGCAUCGAGAAAGUCACUAUGAGUGAGCAGACAUCCAUAUAACUUUUCGUGUUGGUCACGCUCAGUGCUAGUUGUUCUCUAACAACCACCUGCACUCUCGCUCCAGUGUCCCU